AAUCAACGCUGGCGGCGUGCCUCAGACAUGCAAGUCGAACGCGAAAGUCCCCUUCGGGGGACAAGUAGAGUGGCGCACGGGUGAGUAACACGUAGGUAAUCUACCUUCGGGUGGGGAAUAACGCAGGGAAACUUGCGCUAAUACCGCAUAAUGCAGCGGCACCACAUGGUGACAGUUGUUAAAGCGGGGGAUUUUCGGACCUCGCGCCUGAAGAGGAGCCUGCGGCAGAUUAGCUAGUUGGUAAGGUAACGGCUUACCAAGGCGACGAUCUGUAGCCGGCCUGAGAGGGCGGUCGGCCACACUGACACUGACAUACGGGUCAGACUCCUACGGGAGGCUGCAGUCGGGAAUUUUGGGCAAUGGGCGAAAGCCUGACCCAGCAACGCCGCGUGAAGGAUGAAAUCCCUCGGGAUGUAAACUUCGCAAGAAUAGGAAGAAUGAACGAGCGCUAACACCGUUCGUGAUGACGGUACUAUUUGUAAGCUCCGGCUAACUCCGUGCCAGC
RNAcentral lists this ribosomal RNA (505 nucleotides) under uncultured bacterium. RNAcentral's name for it is "bacterial SSU rRNA". It matches the Rfam family "Bacterial small subunit ribosomal RNA", at positions 32 to 512 of the family's 1533-position model. The record is from RNAcentral.